AAUCAAGUGCCUUAAGGGUGUUCGGUGGAUGCCUUGGCGCUGAGAGGCGAUGAAGGACGUGCUACGCUGCGAUAAGCCGUGGGGAGCUGCGAAGAAGCUUUGAUCCACGGAUUUCCGAAUGGGGAAACCCACCUUCGAUAGCUGGAACUCCAAGGCCUUGUGUCUUGGGGUUCAUACAGCAAUGUGUGAGACCGAGGCCGCAAGGUUUUGGAUUUCCAGUUAUCAAGUGAAGGUAUGAAACUCCUGAAUACAUAGGGGGUUUUAAGCGAACCCGGGGAACUGAAACAUCUAAGUACCCGGAGGAAAGGACAUCAACAGAGACUCCGUUAGUAGUGGCGAGCGAACGCGGACCAGGCCAGUGGUACAUCAAAGACAACCGGAACCUGUCAGGAAAGCAGGGCCUUAGAGGGUGAUAGCCCCGUACGGGUAAUGCAAUGAUGUAUCCUUGAGUAAGGCGGAACACGUGAAAUUCUGUCUGAACGUGGGGGGACCACCCUCCAAGCCUAAGUACUCCUCAGCGACCGAUAGUGAACCAGUACCGUGAGGGAAAGGUGAAAAGCACCCCGACGAGGGGAGUGAAAUAGACCUGAAACCGGACACCUACAAACAGAUGGAGCCCAAGAUACGUUCUGGGUGACAUCGUACCUUUUGUAUUAUGGGCCAGCGACUUAAUUUAACGAGCAAGCUUAAGCCGAUAGGUGUAUGCGCAGCGAAAGCGAGUCUGAAUAGGGCGCCAAGUUCGUUGUAUUAGACCCGAAACCUAGUGAUCUAGCCAUGAGCAGGUUGAAGGUGAGGUAACACUCACUGGAGGACCGAACGGGUGUCUGUUGAAAAAGACUCCGAUGACUUGUGGUUAGGGGUGAAAGGCCAAUCAAACUGGGAAAUAGCUGGUUCUCCGCGAAAGAUAUUUAGGUAUCGCCUCGCGUGAAUACUUCGGGGGGUAGAGCACUGGAUGGGCUAGGGGGACUUACCGUCUUACCAAACCCAACCAAACUCCGAAUACCCGAAAGUAAUGCGCGGGAGUCACACGGCGGGUGCUAACGUCCGUCGUGGAGAGGGAAACAACCCGGACCUACAGCUAAGGCCCCUAAUUCGUGGCUAAGUGGGAAAGGAUGUGGGAAUCCCAAAACAACCAGGAGGUUGGCUUAGAAGCAGCCAUCCUUUAAAGAAAGCGUAACAGCUCACUGGUCUAAAUAAGGGUUCCUGCGCCGAAGAUGUAACGGGGCUCAAGCCACGAGCCGAAGCUUAGGGUGUGCCAUUUAUUUGGUACGCGGUAGCGGAGCGUUCUGUAAGCCUGCGAAGGGCGACCCGUGAGGGCGCCUGGAGGUAUCAGAAGUGCGAAUGCUGGCAUGAGUAACGACAAACACUGUGAAAGACAGUGUCGCCGAAAGUCCAAGGGUUCCUGCGUAAAGUUAAUCUUCGCAGGGUUAGCCGGUCCCUAAGGCGAGGCAGAAAUGCGUAGUCGAUGGGAAUGCAGUGAAUAUUCUGCAGCCAGUGGAAUGGUGACGAAUCUCGUAUGUUGUCUGACCUUAUUGGAUUGGUCGGGCCUCGAAGAGGUUCCAGGAAAUAGCCUCCACAUUAGACCGUACCCGAAACCGACACAGGUGGACUGGUAGAGUAUACCAAGGCGCUUGAGAGAACUAUGUUGAAGGAACUCGGCAAUUUACCUCCGUAACUUCGGGAUAAGGGGGCCCAUUGCGCGCGCAAGCGCGUCGUGGGGGCACAGACCAGGGGGUGGCAACUGUUUAACAAAAACACAGGGCUCUGCGAAAUCGCAAGAUGACGUAUAGGGUCUGACGCCUGCCCGGUGCCGGAAGGUUAAGAGGAGGAGUGCAAGCUCUGAAUUGAAGCCCCGGUA
This 1858-nucleotide ribosomal RNA is filed under the name Phenylobacterium sp. Its description in RNAcentral is "partial 23S ribosomal RNA". It matches the Rfam family "Bacterial large subunit ribosomal RNA", at positions 1 to 1925 of the family's 2925-position model. The record is from RNAcentral. Lineage: Bacteria; Pseudomonadati; Pseudomonadota; Alphaproteobacteria; Caulobacterales; Caulobacteraceae.